AGCGAACGCUGGCGGCAGGCCUAACACAUGCAAGUCGAGCGCCUAGCAAUGGGAGCGGCAGACGGGUGAGUAACGCGUGGGGAUGUGCCCAAUGGUGCGGAAUAACCCAGGGAAACUUGGAUUAAUACCGCAUGUGCCACUCGGGGUAAAGAAUUAUCGCCCUUGGAUCAACCCGCGUCUGAUUAGCUAGUUGGUGAGGUAAAGGCUCACCAAGGCGACGAUCAGUAGCUGGUCUGAGAGGAUGAUCGGCCACACUGGGACUGAGACACGGCCCAGACUCCUACGGGAGGCAGCAGUGGGGAAUAUUGGACAAUGGGCGCAAGCCUGAUCCAGCCAUGCCGCGUGAAUGAUGAAGGCCUUAGGGUUGUAAAGCUCUUUCGCCGGUGAAGAUAAUGACGGUAACCGGAGAAGAAGCCCCGGCUAACUUCGUGCCAGCCGCCGCGGUAA
RNAcentral lists this ribosomal RNA (447 nucleotides) under uncultured bacterium. RNAcentral describes it as "partial 16S ribosomal RNA". It matches the Rfam family "Bacterial small subunit ribosomal RNA", at positions 29 to 523 of the family's 1533-position model. The record is from RNAcentral.